Molecule: ribosomal RNA, 353 nt
Filed under: uncultured bacterium
Lineage: Bacteria
Description: bacterial SSU rRNA
Rfam family: Bacterial small subunit ribosomal RNA
Source: RNAcentral
GGGGAAUAUUGGACAAUGGGCGCAAGCCUGAUCCAGCCAUGCCGCGUGAGUGAUGAAGGCCCUAGGGUUGUAAAGCUCUUUCACCGGUGAAGAUAAUGACGGUAACCGGAGAAGAAGCCCCGGCUAACUUCGUGCCAGCCGCCGCGGUAAUACGAAGGGGGCUAGCGUUGUUCGGAAUUACUGGGCGUAAAGCGCACGUAGGCGGAUCGAUCAGUUAGGGGUGAAAUCCCGGGGCUCAACCCCGGAACUGCCUCUAAUACUGUCGAUCUGGAGUUCGAGAGAGGUGAGUGGAAUUCCGAGUGUAGAGGUGAAAUUCGUAGAUAUUCGGAGGAACACCAGUGGCGAAGGCGGCU